UUAUAAUUAAGAUUAAUUAAUAAAAGAUUAAAUGAGAACAUUAAAUUUAAAAAAUUUGGCGGUAUUUUAAAUAGUUAGAGGAAUUUGUCGAUUAAAUGAUACCCCACGUUUGGAGUGUCCUAAUUAAGUUUUUAUAUAUUGUUGUAUAAAAAUUAUUUUAUAAGAAUAAUAAUUAAAAUAUUUAAUUUAAUUUGAAUAUAAAUCAAAAUGUAGGAUUAUUAGGUAGAUAUGAAUUACAAUUUAAUGUAAUAUUGGAAUUAUUUUUUUAAUUAAAAUAAAGAAAGAGGAUUUAAGAGUAAAUUUAAAGAAAUUUUUAAAUUGAAAUAUUAAUUAAAAUAUG
RNAcentral lists this ribosomal RNA (340 nucleotides) under Pheidole sp. d RA0317. Its description in RNAcentral is "partial 12S ribosomal RNA". The record is from RNAcentral. Lineage: Eukaryota; Metazoa; Arthropoda; Insecta; Hymenoptera; Formicidae.